This 253-nucleotide ribosomal RNA is filed under the name uncultured bacterium. RNAcentral describes it as "partial 16S ribosomal RNA". It matches the Rfam family "Bacterial small subunit ribosomal RNA", at positions 524 to 776 of the family's 1533-position model. The record is from RNAcentral.
UACGAAGGGUGCAAGCGUUACUCGGAAUUACUGGGCGUAAAGGGUGCGUAGGUGGUUUGUUAAGUCUGCGGUGAAAUCCCCGGGCUCAACCUGGGAAUGGCAGUGGAUACUGGCAAGCUAGAGUGCGGUAGAGGGUAGUGGAAUUCCCGGUGUAGCAGUGAAAUGCGUAGAGAUCGGGAGGAACACCAGUGGCGAAGGCGGCUACCUGGACCAGCACUGACACUGAAGCACGAAAGCGUGGGGAGCAAACAGG